Long non-coding RNA from Hemibagrus wyckioides, 1051 nucleotides. RefSeq lists it as uncharacterized. Lineage: Eukaryota; Metazoa; Chordata; Actinopteri; Siluriformes; Bagridae. The transcript has 3 exons. The record is from RefSeq and is a predicted model, not a curated record.
UAUACUGAAGGAUCAAGACCUGUUAAGAUCUUAAAUAAUAAGUGUCUACUAUCAUACUUUUCUUGUCCUGUUACAUUCUUAACUCUUUCUUAACCUCGCUUUGACCAAAACCACAGACAUGUGCCUCAAACCCAUCUCUGUUAUCUCUUACAGACACAGGCAUUAUCACCCACAAAGCAGAGGUUAUGCUCAUCUACCCUCCCCUGUUGUCUCAGUCUCAAACAGUGGUGGUAGGUGGGCUCUGGAACUGCCAGUCUGCUGUAAGGAAGGCUGAUUUCAUCUCAGCUUCAGCCUCCCACUAUUCCUUUGAUUUUCUGGCACUAACCAAGACCUGGAUAUCCCCACAGAACACUGCUACACCGACUGCUCCAUCCUCUGCCUACGCUUUCUCUCACUCACCACCAGAAUCAGGGAGGGGUGGUGGCACACAUUCUCCUUGUCAUCAACAGCUGUCCUCCAACACACAGAGGAGGAAACAUCCUGGACUUGGUCUUCACCUGCCCUUCCCCAGCUACAGACAUGACUGCUACCCCACUUCACAUCUCUGAUCAUCACUUAGGAUCCUUCACUAUCAUUCUCCCUUGAGAAGCCUGAGGUGAGGGUGGUGAGGAGAAACUCCCUGAGAUGAUCUGAGGAAGAAACCCUGAGAGGAACCGGGAUCAGAAGAGAACCUCAUCCUCACUUCCUCUUCCAGAUUUCUUCUGUGUACUUGAGGAAGACGUGAGAUUUGAGGAAGCUGGGAUACACUUCCAGCUCCAUGACCUCCUGCACUUCCUGCUUGGCCUGCUGGAAGAGCGCCGUGUCCAGUGGAGAGUGACCGACUCGCUGUUGGAUGAAACUCUUUGUGGCUGGAUUGAGUUUCUUGGCCACGGUUCCAGCAGUGAUGAUGUACUUCCUGUAGAUGGCUUUAGCGAGCUUCACCCUGCGUUUGUUUGACACAUCUGUAGAACAGCUGUUUAAGAGGAUAGAGAAAGUUUACAUUAUUUAAAAUCUUCUCAUCAUGAUUGUGACAUCACAGAAGCUCAGGGUCUCUCGGUCAUUUACCUCAGAG